CAAUAGCGUAUAUUAAAGUUGUUGCAGUUAAAAAGCUCGUAGUUGGAUUUGUGGCGUACGGUGUGUUCCGGGCACUUGUUGUCUGAGUAACCUGCUGUUGCCAUCCUUGGGUGGAACCUGUGUGGCAUUAGGUUGUCGUGCAGGGGAUGCCCAUCAUUUACUGUGAAAAAAUUAGAGUGUUCAAAGCAAGCUUAUGCCGUUGAAUAUAUUAGCAUGGAAUAAUGAGAUAGGACUUUUUUGCUAUUUUGUUGGUUUGCGCAAAGAGGUAAUGAUUAAUAGGGACAGUUGGGGGUAUUCGUAUUCCAUUGUCAGAGGUGAAAUUCUUGGAUUUUUGGAAGACGAACUACUGCGAAAGCAUUUACCAAGGAUGUUUUCAUUAA
This 380-nucleotide ribosomal RNA is filed under the name uncultured eukaryote. Its description in RNAcentral is "partial 18S ribosomal RNA". It matches the Rfam family "Eukaryotic small subunit ribosomal RNA", at positions 592 to 976 of the family's 1831-position model. The record is from RNAcentral.